RNAcentral lists this transfer RNA (87 nucleotides) under Clostridia bacterium. Its description in RNAcentral is "tRNA-Leu". It matches the Rfam family "tRNA". Rfam says of the family: Transfer RNA (tRNA) molecules are approximately 80 nucleotides in length. Their secondary structure includes four short double-helical elements and three loops (D, anti-codon, and T loops). RNAcentral also lists the same sequence under 2 other names. Lineage: Bacteria; Bacillati; Bacillota; Clostridia. The record is from RNAcentral.
GCCGAAGUGGUGGAAUGGCAGACGCGGCGGACUCAAAAUCCGCUGAGGGAUGACCUCGUGCGGGUUCAAGUCCCGCCUUCGGCACCA